GAUAGAAAGUCAAAUUACAUACUCUCUACUACUCACUAAUCUACUUAAUAUCAAAUUUUAUGAAACACUCAAGCAAUACAUUGAAGCUUUUGGAAAUGUUGCAAAUGAGCCAUCGUGCCAUAAAGAAAUAGGCCUUUUUUGUUGAAUAUACUCCAUCUCAAGUAAUACGUUCCGCAGGUUUAGGACAAACAAACCGGUACAUUAGGAGCUCUACACAUUCUUGCAAGAGUAAAGCCAUAAUUACCUCUACUCCCACAACAAGCAUUUUGCAAUGAUUUUGGAUCAAAU
RNAcentral lists this unclassified non-coding RNA (288 nucleotides) under Hevea brasiliensis (rubber tree). The record is from RNAcentral. Lineage: Eukaryota; Viridiplantae; Streptophyta; Magnoliopsida; Malpighiales; Euphorbiaceae.